This 1330-nucleotide long non-coding RNA is filed under the name Ursus thibetanus thibetanus. RNAcentral's name for it is "lncRNA (ENSUTTG00000017955.1)". The record is from RNAcentral. Lineage: Eukaryota; Metazoa; Chordata; Mammalia; Carnivora; Ursidae.
AACAAUUUGUUAUUUAGAUUCGGCGUCUAAUCCUCAGUUUUACUCAUCUAUAUGCCAUAUUUGUAAAUGAAUAUUCUUCUUUUGUUUAUGGGAUCCAACCAAUAAUGGUUCCAUGGUGACACUGGUGUGGUGAAAUAGGAACUUUCUAUGAGUCUAAGAUUUGCUAAGAUUUGCUGACUAUGAGACCUCCACUAAGGACAGAUAUUCAAAGAAGCCCCCAGCCCUCAAGGAGUCCACAUUGUCAUGGGGCACCCAGGAAAAGGAACACUUGGAAAACAUUUUGGGACUCCAAUUUUUCCUGGUGCAUCCUGCCUUCCCAAUUAGGACCUGUCAUUUGAAGUAUACCAGGCUGCCAUUCAAGGUGACUAGACUCCUUUAACCAAGGGGCAAGUACAUGACCCAAUAUAGGCUAACUGAUUCUCCCUCUCGGGAUCUUGAAACUUAGAAGCUUAAGGACGGAAAGUGGUUGGAGGCUUCAUUCCCUUGGCUGUAUCCUGAAGAGACUAUCCAAUCUGCCUUCAUGACUGGUUCUUCUUUUCCUGGUUGUGCAAGAAGCCUGGUUAUUCAAGUGUCCUUGUGAGGUACUUCAUCCCGUAUCUUUCCAAUAAAUUCCUUUAGAAAUGUGGUUUAUGUUGCUUAAAAUGAAUGAAGCUUUGAUAUGGUAUCAUUCAAUAUGAAGAGCUCUCCCUGGCCGUCCUUAUUCUGGUCCUCCCUCCAUCCUUUCCUCGUAUAAAUUUCAUUCUAUUUUCUGUCAUUCUCUCCAUUUUUACUCUAGGGUAUGGUGAUGGCCGUUUGAGGGAGAGUCUUGGCCCAAUGGAGGCAGACCUGGGUUUUCCCUUUAUUACAUUAAUCACAUUGGGUAGGAAUUUGAAGAACUAUCAUCUGUACGAUCAUUUCGAACUAUCAUUUGAAGAACUCUCAUCUACCGCACAUAUGUUACCUCAUUUAAUUAUUAUGCAGGAGAAAAGACAAAAAUGGAAAUAACACAAGAGAGCAGCAUCAUUCUCUCCCGUCCUACUGGGCCUCUCAAGCUUUGCUCCCAGCUGUGGCAACAAGGAACGGCAUGGUAGGGCCAGGUUUUUGGGCGGCACUUCUUUACAGUUAUACAAAUAAAUUUUUAUUUCUACCUGUAACUGAUGGGAAUAUUGACCUAUUUAAAACAAUAUGCAUUAAAUAAGAGGCUUUUAUUAUUUAUUAAAAAUACAAAUCAGAGAAUAUGGUUUUAAAAAAUAUGACAAAUGGCAUUUAGAUUAUUGAGACUUGAAAUGUUCACCAUGGUUCCUGACUCACUUCUAGUAGUCAUGUAGUGGCAGACGUUGUUAACAGAAAG